CCCCUAGAUGUUCUGGGCCGCACGCGCGCUACACUGAACAGUUCAACAAGUCUUAACCUUGGCCGAUAGGUCUGGGUAAUCUUUGAACGCUGUUCGUGAUUGGGAUAGACCUUUGCAAUUAUGGGUCUUCAACGAGGAAUUCCUAGUAAACGCAAGUCAUCAGCUUGCAUUGAUUACGUCCCUGCCCUUUGCACACACCGCCCGUCGCACCUACCGAUUGAAUGGUCCGGUGAAAUCUCGGGACGGCGGCUUGGUCGCUUGCGUCCGACUGCUGAAACUUGAUUAAACCAUAUCAUUUAGAGGAAGGUGAANUCGUAACA
Molecule: ribosomal RNA, 320 nt
Filed under: uncultured eukaryote
Lineage: Eukaryota
Description: partial 18S ribosomal RNA
Rfam family: Eukaryotic small subunit ribosomal RNA
Source: RNAcentral